Molecule: transfer RNA, 79 nt
Filed under: Hyperthermus butylicus DSM 5456
Lineage: Archaea; Thermoproteati; Thermoproteota; Thermoprotei; Desulfurococcales; Pyrodictiaceae
Description: tRNA-Cys
Rfam family: tRNA
About the family: Transfer RNA (tRNA) molecules are approximately 80 nucleotides in length. Their secondary structure includes four short double-helical elements and three loops (D, anti-codon, and T loops).
Source: RNAcentral
GCCGGGGUGGCCGAGCGGUCAAAGGCGGCGGGCUGCAGUAACCCGUUGAUCCCGGGUUCAAAUCCCGGCCCCGGCUCCA